CUUGGGGUGGUCUAGUUGGUUCAUGGCGUUCGACUGUAAUGGAGACAUCUCAUCGAAAAGUCGGCGGUUCGAUUCCGCCUCCCGAGA
Trichoderma atroviride IMI 206040 is the source of this 87-nucleotide transfer RNA. It matches the Rfam family "tRNA". From Rfam's summary of the family: Transfer RNA (tRNA) molecules are approximately 80 nucleotides in length. Their secondary structure includes four short double-helical elements and three loops (D, anti-codon, and T loops). The record is from Rfam. Lineage: Eukaryota; Fungi; Ascomycota; Sordariomycetes; Hypocreales; Hypocreaceae.